Molecule: long non-coding RNA, 467 nt
Organism: Bubalus bubalis (water buffalo)
Lineage: Eukaryota; Metazoa; Chordata; Mammalia; Artiodactyla; Bovidae
Exons: 4
Source: RefSeq, a predicted model, not a curated record
UAGGAAAUGGCAAUCCACUCCAGUAUUCUUGCCUGGAGAAUUCCACGGACACAGGAGGCUGGUGGACUACAGUCCAUGGGCUGCAAAGAGUUGGACACAACUGAAGCUACUGAGCACAGACAUACACAUUCCAACCUUUUAAGAUUAUUCUGGAUCCAACUGGCAUGGAGGUGGGGAAAAUCAGAGAUCUGCCAACUGAUUCUGCCUUUCCUGAUAAAAAAGAUGGUUGCUUACAUGAAAGCAACAACUAUUGGCUACAUUUCCUGCAUUUAGAGAAGCCCAUCAAGGAAAAUGAGUCGUCAUUGACUUUCCAAAGGCUACGAUCAGUCAUUAAUUUCAGCAGAGCCUACUUUUAAAAAAAGAAGACUGACUCAUUCCAACAGGCUUCAAGGCAAGGAAGGGAAAGAGGUUGUAGAGGAGCAGCUCACCUUAUGCCAGAAGAAGGGACGAAAGCAGGAAAGAAGGGG